This 484-nucleotide unclassified non-coding RNA is filed under the name uncultured Glomus. RNAcentral's name for it is "SSU rRNA". It matches the Rfam family "Eukaryotic small subunit ribosomal RNA", at positions 569 to 1058 of the family's 1831-position model. Lineage: Eukaryota; Fungi; Glomeromycota; Glomeromycetes; Glomerales; Glomeraceae. The record is from RNAcentral.
AGCAGCCGCGGUAAUUCCAGCUCCAAUAGCGUAUAUUAAAGUUGUUGCAGUUAAAAAGCUCGUAGUUGAAUUUCGGGAUCAAUUAGUCGGUCGUGCCUCUGGUACGUACUGGUUUUAUUGGUUCCUCCCUUCUGACGAAACAUGAUGUCAUUAAUUUGGUGUCGUGGAGAAUCAGGACUGUUACCUUGAAAAAUUAGAGUGUUUAUAGCAGGCUAACGCUUGAAUACAUUAGCAUGGAAUAAUGAAAUAGGACGUUCGACCCUAUUUUGUUGGUUUCUAGGAUCGACGUAAUGAUUAAUAGGGAUAGUUGGGGGCAUUAGUAUUCAAUUGUCAGAGGUGAAAUUCUUGGAUUUAUUGAAGACUAACUACUGCGAAAGCAUUUGCCAAGGAUGUUUUCAUUAAUCAAGAACGAAAGUUAGGGGACCGAAGACGAUCAGAUACCGUCGUAGUCUUAACCAUAAACUAUGCCGACUAGGGAUCGGAU